Molecule: ribosomal RNA, 233 nt
Filed under: uncultured bacterium
Lineage: Bacteria
Description: partial 16S ribosomal RNA
Rfam family: Bacterial small subunit ribosomal RNA
Source: RNAcentral
ACCUACGGGGGGCAGCAGUGGGGGAUAUUGCACAAUGGGGGGAACCCUGAUGCAGCGACGCCGCGUGGGUGUAGGAGCGUUUCGGCGCGUAAAGCCCUAUCGGCAGGGAAGAAGGAGGACGGUACCUGACUAAGAAGCCCCGGCUAACUACGUGCCAGCAGCCGCGGUAAUACGUAGGGGGCAAGGGUUAUCCGGAAUUAAUGGGGGUAAAGGGGGCGCAGACGGCAGGGCAA